This 335-nucleotide RNase P RNA is filed under the name Erysipelothrix inopinata. RNAcentral's name for it is "Bacterial RNase P class B". It matches the Rfam family "Bacterial RNase P class B". Rfam says of the family: Ribonuclease P (RNase P) is a ubiquitous endoribonuclease, found in archaea, bacteria and eukarya as well as chloroplasts and mitochondria. Its best characterised activity is the generation of mature 5'-ends of tRNAs by cleaving the 5'-leader elements of precursor-tRNAs. Cellular RNase Ps are ribonucleoproteins. Lineage: Bacteria; Bacillati; Bacillota; Erysipelotrichia; Erysipelotrichales; Erysipelotrichaceae. The record is from Rfam by way of RNAcentral.
ACACGAAAGAUAAUCGCUGCAUGUAAAUGUAGAGGAAAGUCCAUGCUCGCACAAUCUGAGAUGGUUGUAGUGUUUGUGCUUGGUGAAAAAAUAAGCCAAGGUAUAGAGGCAUCUAUAACGGCGGAUCAACAUCCUAAGGGAAACUAUGGAUCGAGACUAUAAAAGUGCCACAGUGACGAAGUUUCAUUCGAAAGAGUGAAAGUGGAACGAGGUAAACCCCAUAAGCGAGAAACCCAAAAUUGGUAGGGGAGCUUGCAAGAUCGAAUUCAAGAUUAAGCAGGGUGAAAUAUAUAUUUCACAGAUAAAUGAUUAUCACGACAGGACAUGGCUUAUUG